Molecule: unclassified non-coding RNA, 430 nt
Filed under: soil metagenome
Description: partial contains 5.8S ribosomal RNA, internal transcribed spacer 2, and large subunit ribosomal RNA
Rfam family: 5.8S ribosomal RNA (bases 1-120)
Source: RNAcentral
GAUGAAGAACGUAGCGAAAUGCGAUACGUAAUGUGAAUUGCAGAAUUCAGUGAAUCAUCGAAUCUUUGAACGCAUAUUGCGCUCUCUGGUAUUCCGGAGAGCAUGCUUGUUUGAGUAUCAGUAAACACCUCAACUCCCUUUUCUUUUUUGAAAUUGGAGCUGGACUUGAGUGAUCCCAACGCUUUCUUCCAAGAAAGUGGCGGGUUGCUUGAAAUGCAGGUGCAGCUGAACUUUUCUCUGAGCUAUAGGCAUAUCUAUUUAGUCUGCCUAAAAAACAGAUUAUUACCUUUGCUGCAGCUAACAUAAAGGAGACUAGUUCUUGUGCUGACUGAUGCAGGAUUCACAGAGACAGCUUCGGCUGACUUUGUAAACUCGAUCUCAAAUCAAGUAAGACUACCCGCUGAACUUAAGCAUAUCAAUAAGCGGAGGA